AGAGUUUGAUCAUGGCUCAGAAUCAACGCUGGCGGCGUGCCUCAGACAUGCAAGUCGAACGCGAAAGUCCCCUUCGGGGGAUGAGUAGAGUGGCGUCCGGGUGAGUAACACGUAGGUAAUCUACCUUUGGGUGGGGAAUAACGCAGGGAAACUUGCGCUAAUACCGCAUAAUGCAGCGGCACCACAUGGUGACAGUUGUUAAAGCGGGGGAUUUUCGGACCUCGCGCCUAAAGAGGAGCCUGCGGCAGAUUAGCUAGUUGGUAGGGUAACGGCUUACCAAGGCAACGAUCUGUAGCCGGCCUGAGAGGGCGGUCGGCCACACUGACACUGACAUACGGGUCAGACUCCUACGGGAGGCAGCAGUCGGGAAUUUUGGGCAAUGGGCGAAAGCCUGACCCAGCAACGCCGCGUGAAGGAUGAAAUCCUUCGGGAUGUAAACUUCGCAAGAAUAGGAAGAAUUAGUAGGGGUUAAUACCCCCUAUGAUGACGGUACUAUUUGUAAGCUCCGGCUAACUCCGUGCCAGCAGCCGCGGUAAUACGGGGGGAGCAAGCGUUGUUCGGAUUUACUGGGCGUAAAGGGCGCGUAGGCGGUCAGCACAAGUCAGUUGUGAAAUCUCCGGGCUUAACUCGGAAAGGUCAACUGAUACUGUGCGACUAGAGUGCAGAAGGGGCAACUGGAAUUCUCGGUGUAGCGGUGAAAUGCGUAGAUAUCGAGAGGAACACCUGCGGCGAAGGCGGGUUGCUGGGCUGACACUGACGCUGAUGCGCGAAAGCCAGGGGAGCGAACGGGAUUAGAUACCCUAGUAGUCC
RNAcentral lists this ribosomal RNA (810 nucleotides) under uncultured bacterium. RNAcentral's name for it is "bacterial SSU rRNA". It matches the Rfam family "Bacterial small subunit ribosomal RNA", at positions 8 to 796 of the family's 1533-position model. The record is from RNAcentral.